This 439-nucleotide ribosomal RNA is filed under the name uncultured Dorea sp. RNAcentral's name for it is "bacterial SSU rRNA". It matches the Rfam family "Bacterial small subunit ribosomal RNA", at positions 338 to 794 of the family's 1533-position model. The record is from RNAcentral. Lineage: Bacteria; Bacillati; Bacillota; Clostridia; Lachnospirales; Lachnospiraceae.
CCUACGGGAGGCAGCAGUGGGGAAUAUUGCACAAUGGAGGAAACUCUGAUGCAGCGACGCCGCGUGAAGGAUGAAGUAUUUCGGUAUGUAAACUUCUAUCAGCAGGGAAGAAAAUGACGGUACCUGACUAAGAAGCCCCGGCUAACUACGUGCCAGCAGCCGCGGUAAUACGUAGGGGGCAAGCGUUAUCCGGAUUUACUGGGUGUAAAGGGAGCGUAGACGGCACGGCAAGCCAGAUGUGAAAGCCCGGGGCUCAACCCCGGGACUGCAUUUGGAACUGCUGAGCUAGAGUGUCGGAGAGGCAAGUGGAAUUCCUAGUGUAGCGGUGAAAUGCGUAGAUAUUAGGAGGAACACCAGUGGCGAAGGCGGCUUGCUGGACGAUGACUGACGUUGAGGCUCGAAAGCGUGGGGAGCAAACAGGAUUAGAUACCCCAGUAGU